CUACCGGCGAUAGUGAGAUUGAUAGCUUUUUGAAAAACAAAUAAUACUAAUAAUACUAAUAAUAAUAAUAAUAAAAUUAAAAAGAAAAAAAUAAUAAUAAGAAAAUGGGGGAUGAAGGGCACUAGGAAUGGCGUCGGCUUGGAGUUGAGUGGCAGUGUGUGGGGAGUUGGGGAGGAAAAAUGGAGAAAAAAAAAAGAAAAGGAAAAAAGAAAAAUAAAAAUGGGCGCCGGCGUUUGUGAAGAAAAAAAUGGAGAAAAUGGGGAGAAGAAAAUAAAAAGAAGUGAAUCGGGGGCGC
RNAcentral lists this long non-coding RNA (295 nucleotides) under Vitis vinifera (wine grape). RNAcentral's name for it is "long non-coding RNA (VVIN_LNC005778)". The record is from RNAcentral. Lineage: Eukaryota; Viridiplantae; Streptophyta; Magnoliopsida; Vitales; Vitaceae.